Molecule: ribosomal RNA, 348 nt
Filed under: uncultured Sebacinales
Lineage: Eukaryota; Fungi; Basidiomycota; Agaricomycetes; Sebacinales
Description: eukaryotic LSU rRNA
Rfam family: Eukaryotic large subunit ribosomal RNA
Source: RNAcentral
UAGUAACGGCGAGUGAAGAGGAUGAGCUCAAAUUUUGAAUCUGGUGUCUUGGGCACCCGAGUUGUAUACUAGAGAAGUGUUUCAGUGUUGGACCAUGCACAAGUCCCCUGGAACGGGGCGUCAUAGAGGGUGAGAAUCCGUAUGUGGCAUGGACUCCCUUCACUUUGUGAUACACUCUCGACGAGUCGAGUUGUUUGGAAUGCAGCUCCAAAUGGGUGGUAAAUUCCAUCUAAAGCUAAAUAUUGGCGAGAGACCGUAGCGAACAAGUACCGCGAGGGAAAGAUGAAAAGCACUUUGGAAAGAGAGUGAAACAGUCGUGAAAUUGUUGAAAAGGGAAACGCUUGAAGU